RNAcentral lists this long non-coding RNA (2352 nucleotides) under Lactuca sativa (garden lettuce). RNAcentral's name for it is "long non-coding RNA (LSAT_LNC000122)". Lineage: Eukaryota; Viridiplantae; Streptophyta; Magnoliopsida; Asterales; Asteraceae. The record is from RNAcentral.
AUACAAUCUUCACCGUACCAGUUCUAUUGUCACAAACAAAGGGCUUAAUAUUUACAUUAUCAAUCAUGUUCUAUAAAGAUGAACUUCAAACCUCUAAUCAACUCAUAACAAAACUCUGUUAUGUUUAUCAAUCAUAACAAAUCUCAUAUUCUUGCAUUUAUAAAGUAUAAUAAUUUAAAUUUAGUCAUGGAAGUUGUUGGUUUCACUUCAUAUUUAACAUACACAUCAACUAAAGGUGGAAAGUAGAUCAGUCUGUAUAUGUGAACCUGCAUGGUUGCAUAACUUUCUCCAGUAAUGCGAAAGUCAAACUAUAAAACUUCUUGUUUAAUAUAAAUUUCUGAAUGAGAGUAACUGACGAUUUUACUCUUAAUCCAUAGUGAAUUUCUGUAAAAGUAAUAGAUAUUUAUGCUAAAUAACCAAAAAAGUGAAGAUCUACUCUUCCAUACAAAAGAUAGAAGCAAAAUUUUACUUUUUACUCCAAGAUUGAUAUACAUUUUUCAUAUUUUUAAUUAAAAGAAAAUUGUAACUAUGUUAAAAGCAUGCCAACAUAUCUAAUGCACGAUGUUCAUGUAGCAUUUGUAACAUUUUUAAUUUAAACUUUGAUUGAAAAAAAUAGAUUUGACCUUGGAGAAGUUGAAUUGGUAUCUAUAAGAAAGAAACAACGAUUUAAUGAAACGAUAAAAAAAACACCUGCAUAUAUAGUAGCUUAUUGCAGAGAAGUUGUGAAUGUAGCAAAACCCAAGACAUAUGUAUCGCCUGAACCUGGAUUUUAUCAAAAUUAGGUAAACCAGGUUAAAUAAAAUGGAAGGCUAAAUGCAAGAAAUAACUUGCAGUCACAUUUAAUUAUUUCUUAUAGCAUCCUACUUUCAUUUAUUAAUAGGUGAUAUAUUUUUGAAGAAUAUUGUCGUAAUAGGAAUAAAUGAAAGUGCGAUGCUAUAAUAUACUAACUACAUUAUUAUUGCUUGUAUUUAACUAUUAUACAAAAAAAAAAAAAAAAUACAACUUCAUCAAAAUUAUAACCACAAUAGAUGAUAACAAACCAAGUCCAGUAGCCAAUAAUCCAAUAUGAUACCAAAAACUACAAACAUAUCCUUAAAACCCUCCUGCAAAGACAAAAACAUGUUGUUACUAAUUUAGAGGCACCAAUAUUCCACCUCUUUUAACCAACUAUAUAAAAAUGCGUUGGUAUAACAUGCUCUGCAUUUCAUAUCAAUCAGAUAAUUCAACAAAACUAUGAAAACAAAUGAAACAAUUUUUGGAAGUUGACAAAUCAAGAAGAACAUUUAAUAAGGAAUUAUCGUCCAAUAAUCACUUCUUCUAGAUUAACCUUCUGGUGAGAUGUAAGAUAUUGUGAUGAUAAUAUAUAUCUCGAGCAACCUGUACAGAUCAAAAAAGUAUCACAAGAUGAUUUCUCACAAAAAAAUCAUUUAAUAUGAAACUGAUGGAGUUUUCAAUUCAGUGAAAUAUUGUUAAAAAUACUAACUAAAAACUCAACAAAAACAGCUAAACCCCAAAAAAAAUAGAAAUUUUGAUUCUACUUUAUUUAAAGAUAGAAACAAAGGAAAGGUAGGUUUCAUUGUGACAUUUUGUCAAACACCCGGUGGGUACUAAAGUCAAGAAACUUAGGAACAUUAUGCAUCAUUUGUAUAUACACUGUAUUACCUAAAAAGAACUGAGUAAAGACAUUGUAAAAUUGUUUCACAUAACUUCUAAAUCUAUGAAUUCAAGAACCUACACAUAUGAAAAGUGAAAGCAUCAUAUACCUGAUGGGAUACAUAAUAUCAAUCAUUAUGAUCACUGCUCUAAUAAAAUAUUUCCCUGAAAUUGAUGGUUUCGUCACCGACAACCACGUUAUCUAUGAUAAAAAUCGACAAUAUUACAACAGCUAGCAAGGGGUGAGGUUAUAAGACGAUCGUGAUAGAGAUUAGAUAUAAGGUUUUAAGAGGGUUACAAUUUAAGAGAUAUAAAAUGAAUAAGAUGAAGAAACACAACUCGUCGAGAGGAUGAAGAGGAUUAGGGUUUAAGAGGGAUAAAUAGAGAAAAACACAAAUGAAAAGGAUUACCUGAUGAUGAAAUCACAAGAAAGAAGAGUAAAAUGUGCAAAUACCCAUAACAAAUUAAUAACUUUUCACAAAUCAUACAUCUUUUUCGUGUUAUUUGAAUUUGAAAAACCCUAAUUGAUAUUUACUAUGGUGGUUAUGGAAUUCAAAUCCUAUAAAUACUAAGAUUACCUUCAGGAUUUCCUGAGAUAUGGUGAUCAUCACAAAAAUUUCGCACACAUAAUCCCUUGGUAACCGCUAAAGAUGGAAACAUAUCGUGUUGUGAAUCUACUGAUAAAAUAACAUAACACAU